This 506-nucleotide ribosomal RNA is filed under the name uncultured bacterium. RNAcentral describes it as "partial 16S ribosomal RNA". It matches the Rfam family "Bacterial small subunit ribosomal RNA", at positions 28 to 523 of the family's 1533-position model. The record is from RNAcentral.
GAUGAACGCUAGCUACAGGCUUAACACAUGCAAGUCGAGGGGUAACGAGAGGAAAGCUUGCUUUCCUUGUCGACGACCGGCGCACGGGUGAGUAACGCGUAUCCAACCUGCCCCCAACUAAGGAAUAACCUUGCGAAAGUAAGACUAAUACCUUAUACUUUCCUCAGAUGACAUCUGACGAGGAAUAAAGAUUUAUCGGUUGUGGAUGGGGAUGCGUCUGAUUAGCUUGUUGGCGGGGUAACGGCCCACCAAGGCAACGAUCAGUAGGGGUUCUGAGAGGAAGGUCCCCCACAUUGGAACUGAGACACGGUCCAAACUCCUACGGGAGGCAGCAGUGAGGAAUAUUGGUCAAUGGGCGGAAGCCUGAGCCAGCCAAGUAGCGUGCAGGAUGACGGCCCUAUGGGUUGUAAACUGCUUUUAUACAGGAAUAAAGUUAGCCACGUGUGGUUAUUUGUAGGUACUGUAUGAAUAAGGACCGGCUAAUUCCGUGCCAGCCGCCGCCGUAA